Molecule: long non-coding RNA, 976 nt
Organism: Rosa chinensis
Lineage: Eukaryota; Viridiplantae; Streptophyta; Magnoliopsida; Rosales; Rosaceae
Exons: 3
Source: RefSeq, a predicted model, not a curated record
GAAAGAAGAGAAUUCUCUGGAGACUACAGGUGUCAGGUGGCUAAUAUAGGGUUCUUAUAGUGUUCUUCACCGACCUUUCGAGGGGGAGAAGAGAACUAUCACGAGUCUCUCUCUCUCUCUGGGGAUACAUCUAUGGGAUAUUCCUCAUUUCUCUAGAGCUCUCUCUUUGUAUCUCGCCGCAAAACUAAAAGACAAUCUCUUUGUUCUGAGGUUGUCACCCAAACACAGUUAGCUAUAAUCAUCCAGGGAAAUUCUGUUAAAUGAAAGGAAGUUUCUUUUGGGCAUGAUCUCGAUAAUAAGUGGUGGAUAAUUCAUGUUCCUCCUUCAAUUGCAGAGUUGGGUAAUUGCUUGUGUUUACCCAAUUUCAUUUUAAAGGAAGGAAGUUCUCAGGCUCGGUAUUUUGUAUCGCGGCUCAUUCCUGCGCACAAGGAUCCUCCUUAUGAGCAGGAGGCAAGAUUUCCUCAGCUACGAACUUUGACAAUAGAACAGCGCGCAAAGCUGAAAAGCAGUUUUAUUUGUUUUGAUGAUCCUAGCUUCUGUGAGUGGGUACGAAGCUUGAGAGUGGUUCCGCAGAACCAAGUUAGAUGGUCGGUUCGCCAGAACCAAGUUAGAUGGUCUUAGCCUUUGUUAAUCUUGAUGGCUAACGUCACUACAAAAAGUCAGUGUUACAAGUUAUAUUAGAGCAAAAUUGUGUCUUGCCGAGAAAAUUUUUUGUUUUUUCAUUUUCACUGGUAGAGGAAAUUGUAGUUGAGAUAUGUCUGGACAGGAAAGGUAUAGUUCUCAUCUCCUUAAUACGAUUAGCAGCUAACUUUGUCCUAUAGCAGCUGCUGGUUUACAUGGUCCUUGAAUGCAAGAUUUUGUUUGGAGCUUCUUUUGCUUUUAGUUUAUACCUUGCGAGGGAAUAAUGGGGUUUAUAGUCAAGAAUGGACUGGCCUCUUGUGUCCUAUAGACAUUUGUUGGUUGGGUGCUCCCCAAA